Molecule: long non-coding RNA, 384 nt
Filed under: Volvox carteri
Lineage: Eukaryota; Viridiplantae; Chlorophyta; Chlorophyceae; Chlamydomonadales; Volvocaceae
Description: long non-coding RNA (VCAR_LNC001025)
Source: RNAcentral
UCCAUCACCACCGCCUCCACCAAGUCCUUUUCCACCAAGGCCGCUUCCCCCAAGCCCCCUCCCACCAAGUAAGCCACCCCCAAGUCCACUGCCCCCAAGUCCACAACCCCCAAGCCCGUUGCCAGGAGCUCCAUUACUACCAAGUCCUCCACCACCAAGUCCUCCACCACCAAGUCCUUCACCUCCAAGUCCACAACCACUUAGUCCUUCACCUCCAAGUCCACAACCACCGAGUCCUAAACCACCGAGCCCACAACCACCUUUACUACCCCAGCCGCCUAGCCCAAAACCUCCAAGCCCACCACCAGCAAGUCCACCACCACCCAUACCACCUCAGCCACCUAAUCCUUUUCCUCCGAAACCACCUAACCCAAACCCUCCGAG